RNAcentral lists this long non-coding RNA (865 nucleotides) under Homo sapiens (human). RNAcentral describes it as "HSALNT0181164". Lineage: Eukaryota; Metazoa; Chordata; Mammalia; Primates; Hominidae. The record is from RNAcentral.
GUUUGGAAUAGCGGAGGUGCAACCAAUCCAGAUUCAUUGUGCUAUCUCGACCUAACAGGUGGUCUUUUGGUUGAGGGUGGGCACUUGGCUCUCAGGGAUUGGCUCUGAAACCUCAGUGGUAAGGCGUCUUCCAGAGCAGCGGCGCCCCCUGGUGGCACGCGGUAGGAUGGGCGGCAAAGAAGCACUCGGCGUGGGCGGGGCGGGUGGGGGUCGCAAGGCCACUUCUCUCCUUCCUGCAGGUUCUCAGAGAUGGAAGGUGUCUUAGAGGCGGUGAGACCAACUGCCCACACAGUGUGGUCGCCCAUCUAUGCCACACCCAAAAAUGGUCAGUGUCAGCUGGAUCCACUCCACAAUUUGGUCAGCUGUGUUUCCAAGGAGCCCUUCUUGUACUGAGUGGUUUCUCCUUGUAGCUCUCAGCCAUGGGUCCUAGUUCCGCCAUUUGAAGCCGCGCAUAGCAAAUGUGGCCCUUCUCCGUAUUCUCUCAGAUGUUUGAGGGCAGCAUUAGACAUUUCUUCUUCCGGCUCUCUUUCAGCCGGCCCCUCCAGACGAUGGCCAUUCCUGUUGCCUUGGUCCGCAGGAACGAUGGGUUAUGCAUGAACUUUGUAGAACAUGGCCUUGUCUUCACCAACGCGGAGGAGAGCCCGUUCGGUUCCAGAGAGGAUGCUGCCUCAUCUCGUCUCUAAAAGAGGAGGAAGGGGAGCAGGUCCCUUCACGUUCUCUGGUCUCAGCUGAGAACUCUCCCUGGAAGUAGCGGGCCGUGAAAUGUUUCACAAGGUAGCAUCUCCCUCUAGUGGCCACCAUGGUCUAUUUCAAGAUGCUUUCCUCCCUUCCCCUGGCCCUCGCUUCUCAAGGUUUUUUUUUUUUU